Molecule: long non-coding RNA, 580 nt
Organism: Mya arenaria
Lineage: Eukaryota; Metazoa; Mollusca; Bivalvia; Myida; Myidae
Exons: 3
Source: RefSeq, a predicted model, not a curated record
UUAUGGUAAAAAGGUGUUGUCAUGGCACUUGUAAUUCGGAUACAAGGUAGCCAGGCCGACUAAAGAUGGCUUCCAAUUCGUUCCGUAUUCGAAACCAGCGAGUUAUUUAGAAAAAUGCAAGUGCUGUAUCAGACUCUGUGGAAGACCUCAUCAACAGCUGAACUUGGAAAUUUUGAAAGAUCGUUCAAAGGCGAAACAUCUAUACGUCUGUACAAAACACUUUGUCGACGGGAAAUCCAAUCAAGAAAACCCUGACCCUCAAGCAGCUACUGUAUUUGACCAGCUCACACCAGUUAGGCCUCCUCCAAAACUCAGAUAAAUAUAUGAGCCACCAAAAAAAUACGAGAACAGAUCGGUCUGAAUCGUUAAGAACUGAAGCUAACAUCAUAGAGGUACAUCCUUCCAAGAAUCCAUCAAAACAACAUGCUGAACAACUUCAAGAACUCUCUUCAAAAGACCACACUUUCCUGAAAUAAAUAAAAGAUGCCACUAUUAAAAUAAAUCAGUUACAUGUAUUGUUAAAUAUUUUAAUACUAGCUGUAAAUGCUACUGCCUUUGAUGUUUGCUUUCUACAUGUAUA